Molecule: long non-coding RNA, 277 nt
Organism: Apis dorsata (giant honeybee)
Lineage: Eukaryota; Metazoa; Arthropoda; Insecta; Hymenoptera; Apidae
Exons: 2
Source: RefSeq, a predicted model, not a curated record
GUCCGAUCGGGUGAAAAGAAAACGAGGGAGAUUUGAAAAUUUGAAAGUUUGGAUGAAUUCGAAUCUUGGAAUUUUCAUCGAGUCGAGCGGAGAAANAGAGAGAGAGAGGGAGGGAGAGAGGAAAGAAGNAGGUAGAUUUGUAGGCAGAUUCGAACCUUGAAACUUCCAUUCGAUCGAGCGAAAAAAGAGAGGAUGGAAAUUUGGAAAUUUAUACGCAAAUGAAUUCGAACGAGAAUGAUUCGGAAAGCAAACGAGAAGCAAGGAGAAUGAAAUGGAU